GCAGCGGAGCAGGUGAUCGCCGGCGGGUUUCCGCGGGAGGAAAGUCCGAGCUCCGCAGGGCAGGGUGCCGGGUAACGCCCGGUGAGGGUGACCUCGAGGAGAGUGCAACAGAGAGAAACCGCCGGCUCGAAGGUGCCCUCGUGGUGCUCGUCCAGUCGGUAAGGGUGAAACGGUGGGGUAAGAGCCCACCGCACCUCCGGUAACGGAGGUGGCUAGGCAAACCCCACCCGGUGCAAGGCCGUGUAGGGAGGCGAUGGGACCGCAAGGUCCCGAGAGGACGGCCCGUCCGAUGCCUCCGGGUUGGCUGCUGGAGGCACGUAGCAAUGCGUGCCCUAGAGGAAUGAUCGCCGACGCUCUCGGGGGUGACCCCGGAGCGAGACAGAACUCGGCUUAUGAGCCGCUGCGACC
This 408-nucleotide RNase P RNA is filed under the name Polyangium jinanense. RNAcentral describes it as "RNase P RNA component class A". It matches the Rfam family "Bacterial RNase P class A". Rfam says of the family: Ribonuclease P (RNase P) is a ubiquitous endoribonuclease, found in archaea, bacteria and eukarya as well as chloroplasts and mitochondria. Its best characterised activity is the generation of mature 5'-ends of tRNAs by cleaving the 5'-leader elements of precursor-tRNAs. Lineage: Bacteria; Pseudomonadati; Myxococcota; Polyangiales; Polyangiaceae. The record is from RNAcentral.